RNAcentral lists this long non-coding RNA (9824 nucleotides) under Nicotiana tabacum (common tobacco). Its description in RNAcentral is "long non-coding RNA (NTAB_LNC012489)". The record is from RNAcentral. Lineage: Eukaryota; Viridiplantae; Streptophyta; Magnoliopsida; Solanales; Solanaceae.
AACUCCAAAUAAUGGACAAGGUAGUUCUUCUCAUGAGGCUUCAGAUGACGCGAAGCAUAAGCAAUUUAUCUACAUCCCUGCAUUAAGACACACCCAAUACCAAUUUGAGAAGCAUUAUAAUACACUAUAUAAGAACCAGAAACUGAAGGUAGAAUUAGAACUAGAGUUGUGGUCAAAGCAGUCUUGAGCUUCUAAAAGCUCUCCUCACACUCAUACGACCACCUGAAAGGAGCACCCUUUUGGGUCAAUUUGGUCAAAUGCGAUGCAAUAGACAAGGAACCCUCCAUGAAGCGACGAAAAUAACUGGUCAAACCGAGAAAGCUCUGAAUCUCUGUAGUUGAGGACGGUUUGGGCCAACUCUAAAUCGCCUCUAUCUUCUUCGGAUCCACCUUAAUCCCCUCAUUGGACACCAGGUGCCCCAGGAAUGCCACCGAACUAAGACAGAACUCAAACUUGGAGAACUUGGCAUAAAGCUUCUCCUCCAUCAGCUGCUGCAACACAAUCCUCAAAUGCCAGGAACGCUCCUCCUGGCUACGUAAGUACACCAGGAUAUCAUCAAUGAAUACUAUGACAAAUGAGUCAAGAUAAGGCUGAAAUACAUUGUUCAUCAGAUGAAUGAAUGUUGCUGGGGCGUUAGUCAUCCCGAAAGACAUCACAAGGAACUCAUAAUGACCAUAACGGGUUUUGAAUGCUGUCUUUAGAAUAUCCGAGUCCUAAAUCUUCAAUUGGUGAUACACAGACCUCAAAUCAAUCUUAUAGAAAACCCUCGCUCCCUGAAGCUGGUCGAAUAGAUCAUCAAUACGUAGCAAAGGAUACUUGUUCUUAUUUGUAACUUUGUUCAACUGACUAUAGUCGAUGCACAUUCGCAUAACACCAUCCUUCUUCUUUAAAAACAAAACUGGUGCACCCCAAGGCGAUACACUAGGCCUAAUAAACACCUUAUCAAAAAUUUCAUGAAGCUACUCUUUCAAUUCCUUCAACUCAGUUGGUGCCAUACGAUACAGAGGAAUAGAAAUAUGCUUAGUGGCCGACACCAAGUCAAUAUCCUUGUCGGGCGGAUGCCCGACAGGUCUAUAGGAAACACAUCUGGAAAAAUCCCACACCACCGGAACAGAACCAAUAGUAGGAGUAUCAACACCAACAUCCCUCACAAAGGCCAAAUAAGACGGACACCCCUUCCUAACCAUCCAUUGGGCCUUCAAAUAUGAAAUCACUCUACUGGGAACAUAAUCUAGAGAAACUCUCCACUCGAUCCUUGACAACCCCGGCAUCGCCAACGUCACGGUCUUAGCUUGACAAUCCAGCAUAGCAUGACAUGGAGACAACCAAUCCAUACCUAUGAUCAUGUCGAAAUCAACCAUACUAAGUAAUAAGAGGUCAACUCUAGUCUCUAAUCCCUCAAUAGUUACUACACACAAUCGAUAUACAUGGUCCCCAAUAACAAUAUCACCCACUGGCAUGGAUACAUGAACAAAUAAAACUAAGGACUCACGGGGCAUAUCCAGAUAGUGGGUAAAAUACGAUGAUACAUACUAAUAAGUAAAACCAGGAUCAAAUAAUAUAGAAGCAUCCCUGUGACAUACUAAGACAAUACCUGUGAUCACUGCAUCUGAAGCAACAACAUCUAGCCUGGUAGGAAUAGCAUAGAAUUGGCCUUUACCACCACCUAAUCGGCCUCCCCCUCUAGGGCGACCUCUAGCUGCAUAGGCCCCACCCCAAACUGGCUAGGCGGGUGGUGUACUAACGGUGUGGAAGUCGCAACCUGACUCCACUACUGCAUUGGACCUCCCGGGCAAUGAGGACAUUGUCUCCACAUAUGCCCAAACUCCCAGCACUCAAAGCAAUACCUGGUGGUCGUGGUGGGGACUCUAAGGGGGACUCGAGUACAAGGAUAACUGCUAGAAGGACCUGGUAUAGAUGAACCCUGAGCCGAUGAAGCACGGGAUAAAAUUUGAGUUGGAUAGGCACUAAGAGAUGACUGACCCAGACGGGCACUGUAAGAACUAUGGCUAGAUGAUGCGCCACGAUGAACUGGACGAGCCAUCUGACUAGGCUUAUAAGGACGGCUCCUAUUGUGGUAAGGCUGCCCCCAGAAGAUGCACCACUGAAACCACCUGAACAUCGAGGUCUCUUGGCCUCCCUCUCCUCACGCUCCUAACUGUAAACCAUAUCUAGGUGAUGAGCAAUAUCAAUCACCUUGUCGAAUGUAGCACCUGAUACACUCUCCCGAGUUAUGACAAAAAGGUACUGAGAGUAGAGGCCAUCAAUGAACCUCCUGAUCCUCUCCCUCUCAGUGGGAACCAACCAAACUGCGUGACGAGCCAACUCUAAGAACCUCAUCUUAUACUGGGUCACAGACAUGCCAUCCUGACAUAGCUCCUCAAACUGUCUGCGCAGCUCCUCCCUAUGAGUCUGUGGCACGAACUUCUCCAAGAAGAGAAUGGAGAACUCAUGCAAUAUAAGUGGUGCUGCACCGACUGGCUUGCACCUCUCAUAGGCUUCCCACCACUUGAAAGCAGUCCCAGUGAACUAGAAAGUAGUGAAUGAGACCCCACUAGUCUCCAAAAUACUUGUCGUGCAAAGAAUCAGUUGGCACCUAUCCAAGAAAUCCUGGGCAUCCUCUGACUCUGACCCACUAAAUGAUCGAUACUGGAGCCUCCCAAACCUUUCUAGCCUCCUUUGCUCAUCAUCAGUCAUAACGGGACCCACCUAGGCAUGAGGAGAUGCAACCGGCUAGGCUAGUAGUACCCCCGGUGUAUGAAGUCCUUGCAUCACUUGCUCUGGAGUACAAGCAGCAGGCGUCUGGGUGCCUCCCCUAGCAUGAGAAGUGGAUGGCAUAGUCUGAAUAGAAAUCGCCUAAGCAAGGCUGGUGCAUACAGUCAAAAUCUGAGCCAAGGCCUCCUGAAGGUCUGGAAUCACAAUGGGCACAGCUGGUGCCUGAGCUGGCCCCACUGGCUCGACCAUAUCGGUUACCUACUCCUAAACCGGAGCAAUUGGUGGAUCUGUAUAUGCUACUCUAGCUGCUAUACGAGCUGCACCUCUUCUCCCACCACAGCCCCUAUCAUGCCCUCGACCUCUCUGGCCCUAGCUAGUGGUGCUGGUGGUUGUCCGCCCUAUCAAAUAGCACGCGUCCUCACCAUCUAUGAGAGAAUAGAAUAACAGAAGUUUAGUCAUUGGAAUCCACAAAUUCACACGUUAAGAACACAAAAAAGUGAAGUUUCCUAAGGGUUCGGCAGCCUCUCGAAGAUAAGCACAGAUGUCUCUGUAUCGAUCUGCAAGACUCUACUAAACCUGCUCAUGACAAGUGAGAAUUAUUUAACCUAGGCUCUGAUAUCAACUUGUCACAACCCAAAACAUAACCUAACGUGAUGGCACCUAACAUGGUACUAGGCAAGCCGACAACUUAAUAAAUUCCAACACUCUUAGAUAAAAGAUGACAAAAAUAGGUUUGAAUAAUUUAAUGCUUUCAUAAACUGGAUAAAAGGCCAAACUCAAUUCAAAUUUCCAAAACGAGGGUGUCAAUGAGUACAUGAGCAUCUAUACAAUACAAGUCUGAAAAUAUUGUCUAUGAAAAGCGAAAACUAAAUACAUAAAGUUGAAAGAUAGGGAAGGAGAGUUAAGGUCUGCGAAUGUUGGGAAACUACCUCAAAAUCUCCAAAUGAUCAAAUUGCUAAAAUAAUCAACACCUACCGUGUCCGAAAAUACAUGGAUCUACACAUGAAGUGCAGGGUGUAGCGUGAGUACAACCAACUAAGUAAGUAACAAAACUAACUAUUGGACUGAAAGUAGUGACAAGCCUCACGGUGCAAUUCAAUUACAGAUAUAUAGUACAGGAAAAGUAGGCAUGCUCAAUCCUCCCAAUCCUCCCAUUCACUCCAACCUCACAAUCAUAGUAAUAGUCCAUCAGUCCUCCCAUUCACACCAACCUCACAAUCAUUCAUUCCUCACAGUUACUCAAUCCUCCCAAUCGCUCGACACUCGCACUUAGUAGGUACCUGUGCUCACGGUGGAUGUGCAGACUCUGGAGGGGCAUUUCUAGACCAAGCGCUAUUAUAAGCCAAUCAUGGCAUAAAUCAAAAUAACAAGUUGUGGUGUGCAUCCCGUUCCAAUAAAUAUCCUCACAAUUUAGGCCCUCGGCCUGAGUCAGUCAUCAAUAUCUCCAGUCUCUCGGGCUUUCAAAAAUCAUGAUAAUUAGCCCAAACAAAGAAGAUAUAGUGUAUCAAUAAAGGACAACAGAGACUGAGAUAUAAUAUGCAGUAAAAGCUAUGACUGAGUAAAGAAUGAUAGUUUAGCAAAUAACUCAGCAUAUGACAUGGCCUCUAUGGGUCCCUACAGUACUAACAUAUAGCCUAAGCAUAAUUUCUAACAUGACUGGCAUCUCAAUUCUUUAACACAAGAUGAAAAUAUGAAUAACGACCAGAUAAAUCAACUAUGUAGUCCCAUGAAAUCGACCAAGUCACAAUUCUUACGGUGCACGCCCAUCACCUAGCAUGUGUGUCAUCUCAACACCAAUCACAUAAUACAAAAUUCAGGGUUUCAUUCCCUCAUAACCAAGUUUAGAAGUGUUACUUACCUCAAGUUGUGCAAAUCCCUACUCCGAUAAGCCUUUGCCUCCGAAACGACCUCCAAAUGUUUUGAAUCUAGCCUCAAACAGUUCGAUACAAUCAACACGCGCUAAAGGAGUCAAUUUCAUAAUAAAAUACUAAGCUCUUAAUCAAAAGUCAAAAAGUUAACUCAAAAGUUGUCCCCCAGACCCGCAUCUCGGAAUUAAAUAAAAAUCACAAAAUUUGGAAGCCCAUUCAACCGCAAGCCUAACCAUACCAAAUUUACCAAAAUCCGACACCAAAUCAUCACCCAAAUCCCCAAUUUAACUAUCUAAAUCACUAACCUCAAACUCACAAAAUUACACCUCAACAUACGCUAUCUAGGUGGGAAAUUCAAUGGGGAAGAAUAAUUAUUGAAUAAAUUUAACCACAAGUGACUUACCCCAAGAAACCCCUCGAUAAUCCUCUCAAAAUUCGUCUAAGUCUAAGCUUUAAAUGUCCAAAAUGAAGAAAAGUACGGAGUCCUCGAAUUUAAGGUUAUGUCCAGCCUUUUUGCUCCUGCAGAAACUUAACCACAUCUGUGGCAUCACAUAAGUGACAAUCCUUCCGCUUGUGCGGUGAACCACUGACACUGGUCUUUCGCACCUGUGGACUAUGCUCCACUCCUGUGCAAACGCAGGUGCGACCCUCUUUCUUGCUCCUGCAUUGGCCUCCGCUUUUGUGCUCAACCUCUCCGCAUCUACGACCACGCAGGUGCAGAAAAUCCUUCGCACCUGCGAUCCACCCAAGGACAGACCAAUCUCGCUUCUGCGCCACUCCAGCCGCACCUGUGGCCAAUCUCCUCGCAGGUGUGAUCACACUAGAAGACUCCGAGCUUCAGCAAUGCUCUGAGUCUCAUUUUUGAUUCGUUAACUAUCUGAAAUCAACCCAAGGCCCCCAGGAUCUCAACCAAACACACAGACAAGACCUAAAACAUGAUACGAACUUAGUCGAGCUUUCAUAUCAUAUCAAACAACACUAAAACCAUAUGAAAACUAAGGAAAUUCCAAUUUCAACAAACGAUGCUGAAACCUAUCAAAUCACGUCCUAUUGACCUCAAAUUUUUGCACACAAGUCACAAACAACACCACAGACCUACUUCAACUCCCUAAAUCCUAAUCUAAGCCUGGUAACUACAAAGUCCACUCUCAGUCUAACUUCCAAAUUUUUCACUUUCGCUAUUUCAAGCCUAAUUGAACUACGGAACUCUAAAUCACAAUUCGGACACGCUCAUAAGUCUAAAUUCAUCCAGUGAAGCUAACAAAACCAUUGAAACUCUAAUUCAGAGCCAUUUGCACACAUGUUAACAUCCGGUCAAUCUUUUCAACUUAAGUUUCCAACCUUAAGACUAAGCGUCUUAAUUCAUUCUGAAACCUCUCCGGACCCGAACCAACUACCUCUACAAGACACAUAACAACAAUUAAGCAGGGAAUGAGCUGUAAAUAGGAGAACGGGGCUACAACUCUCAAAACUAUUGUUCGGGUCGUUACAGUUGGAUAGUUGCAUGCCACAUCAUUCCUUUUAACUCUUUGUUCAAAAAUGUCGAGUUGAAAUUGCUCUUCAAAUGACUAAGACAUAACCAAUGAUAUGCAUUCAGCUCAUGUAGCUGGACGAGCUCCUCAAAACUUUGAAUAAUUCCAGGAGACCGAUGUGAUAUCUAUGUAACUCCACUGCAACAUUUUACAAAAUUCACUCCAAGACAUGACAAGAACCACGACUAAGCAUAUUUUGACUCCUUAUCAAUAAUUGCAAAUGCUAAUAGGAAUAUCUACCCAUUUGUAUCUGUAGUCACAACAAUUAACAUAUUUAAGUCGCACUUUUCAUAAAUGUGAGUGCCAUCAAUGGAUAUAAUAAGUAUGCAACUCUUAAAUCCUUUAAUAUAAGGUUUAAAUGCCCAAAAAACAUACUUAAAGAUAUUAUCUCCAUCAUUGAUUGAUCUGCAUGUACCCAUUCCACCACAGUUCCUGGAUUAAAAUGCUUGAGUGCAUUCAUAUACAUAGGAAGCUGUGCAAAUGACUCAUCAAAGUCACUAUUUAUUAUCUUGAAUGCAUGCCUACGACUGAGCCAAGAUUUUUUCUAUGAAGGAGUGUGUGAAACUGCAACCUUAACAGUAGUCUGCACCUCUUAAAGCUUGAACUAAGGAUUGUUCCUAAUAUAAGGUAAUAACAAAGAAUUAAUAAGAUUAGUAUCCAAGUUGUAAUGAUCCUCUGAGUUUACACCCAUCAGACAGGUGUGCUUUUACAAUAGUAUUUUCCAAUUGUCCAUAAAUUGGUUUGAGUUUUCCUGCCUCUGAGCAUCCACUUGCAUCUGGAUUCUCACCUCUUGCAAUGAACGGUCCAAUGAUUCUUUUUUGCUUCCCAUACCUUAAACUCCCUAUUUUCCCGCAAACUCCAAUGUUUUACAGGAGUUUUAGUCUCUUCUUGGCCGAGAACAACAUUCCAGACUCAAGAGUAAUUGCAUUAUCAUCUAUCCAAUUUUGUAAUGAACACCUUUUGACUUAUGGGUAGAUGCAAACACCUCUAGAUGCCCCUAAGUAUCAUAUAAAAAUUGAAUGUUCUCCCUAUGAAAUGGUUGUGUCUGUUGUACAUCAUGGACUUGCAGUUGGCUAUCAUCGUCAACAUCUUGAUCAGAACCACAAUCAUAAACCUCAUUUGACUCAUAUGUGUCACUCGGGGCAUCACUGCCAGAAUCAUCACUCCCUUCGUCGACAUGAGCAUCAGCUUCAACACGAGCCAGCAUAUCUGAAAAUAUUGGAAUAUGUGGGAUUUCAUUAUUCUCAAGUUCGUUGUUUGCAUUGCUGGUUCCUACACCAUCUCCAAAAUUAUGAUAAUGAUAAUUUUCAGUGGAAAAUAGUAUGCCAAAACUAGUACAACCAUGGCAAUAGCUACUAGGUGUUGGUUUAAUUUCGGGUGAUGUACUUUGUGAUAACAACCUUGUAAAACUAUGAAACUAUGAAUAACUACCCGGUGGAUCAGUACAUGGUACAUAAGCUUCGGAUGGAGGCUCAUUAAGAUUAAAAGAUGGCACAUUAGAAAGUAGAGGUGACUUGUGAAACAUAUUUGUAGGCUCAACAACCUCUAAUAAUUCUGUUUUUAUAAACAUCUCAAGCAUAUCAAAAUUUAUCAUAUGCCUUAAUCUAUCAGGUACCCUCAAAAAAUCUUGCAAUAACUCACUAUCAACAAUAAGAAUUUCUAUAUAUCAAGCAAUACUUGUGUGGUCUGAUAUGGUCAACUACCAUAGAUAACAAGCGUUACCUCGUUAGGGUUGGUUUUCGUCCUAAUAUGCAAGUUCCUAACUAACUACUCAUACUCAACAUUUAGACAUAAUUUCACAAUGGCACGAGCAACACAAUUAUAUCUAAUUGUGUCAGUUUCAUAAAUUAUCUCACCGCUCCAGUAUAUCGCAAUCCUUACACACUGAUUAGUUGACAUUUUAAAACCUACAAAAAGUAGCUAUUAUAAUCAAUAAAUAAUAGCAACAUUUGGCAAUGACAUUACAAACUAUGAAAAUAAUACUAACCAUUUAACAAAUUUUGGUAUAUCCAAACACACCAUACACAUCAUGAAAUAACAUCGGUUAUAUAUAGAAUCCAAAUGCAUGUAUUCUAGCAUUUUUUUCCCACAAAAGACGCAUUUGAUACGUAAACCUUCCAUUUUUCACAUAAGGCGCAAUCUGACAAUGAGUCUCCCGUAAAGCUGUAGCAUCAAACAUUUAUCAAAUCCAUGUCAGUCGGUUGAAUAUAAUUAAAACUGAAGGCGCCCCACCCCAUUGAGACUUCUAUGUAAAUAAAAAAUAAGGAAGGCGCAUCAGUUAAUCACACUGUCACACCUCCUUUUUCCCGAGGGGGAUAUAAGGGAAUUUUUUCAAUUAAAGUGACAUUAAUAGAAAUGGAAUUGUUUAUUUAAUUUCAUAGUCGCCACUUGGGAUAAUUUAUGGUGUCCCAAGUCACCAGUUUAUUUUAAAUCCCAAAUCAAGGAAAUUGACUCUAUUUUUGGUCUGCGAACACAGAAGACCGGGUAAGAAAUUCUGUUAACCUGGGAGAAGGUGUUAGGCAUUCCCGGGUUUCGUGGUUUUAGGACGGCCGCUCAACUAUUAGUAAUUGGCCUAAUUAUCUGAUUAAUUAUAUGUUUUAAACCUAUUGUGCAUUUUUAACUAAAUAACCGCUUUUACUUAUUAUUGAUUUAUUUAUGGAACAAGCCACGAUUGUCGUACACUUGUUGUUUUGGUACACAUUGCAAACCGCAUCACAUGAAAUGCACCCGCGAUUUACAACAUGUUUAUUUUUAUAUUAUUCGAAGUUGUGGUAGGGUCACAUGAAAUGCACACGCGAAUUGGGAUUAUGGAUAACGACUAUACCACGGGAACCGUACCCAUAGUCACGAUGAUUUAUUAAUCAGGCCUAAAGCAAGCUACGGGGUUCAAUAGUUUAAAUAUUUUUCUAAAAUUUAUUGUUAUAUGAAGAUUCAUAUUUGCGAAAUUUAUUGGGCCUUUUUCAAACCUACAAACUAAUAUCUAACUUCUAUAACUUCUGUAAUUGUUUUAACUACAUCUAAUUUCAUUUAACAAACAAAAGAAGAAAUCAAACCAUGAAUAUUUAAUACAUUUUUUUAACAAACAUGUUGAAUAUCCCAACUCAUAAAAAUGGCAAUAUGUCAAAAACAGAGAAGAAAUCGGAAUAUACACCAAAUCACGUCUUAGUUCAAGCUUGACAUGAGCUAUCACAAAAUGAAGCAAAAUUGAAGAUUCAACCUUAACAAAAAAAUAAAACGGACCUUAGUUAAACUUGACUCGCCGAAUAGGAUCUCGAGCGGACAACCUCGCCGGAAAAUCGAAUUAAACCAAAUAAUGAAACCAACAGACUCUAUGACAGUGACUGGCGAUUUGGAGCUGCUUCGGGCUGUUUGUGGUGCUUAUUUUCAAGUGUCCAUUUCCCCCCUAUUUUUAUCUAUCUACAUUACCAAAUGUUGUGUGAACUUUCUUGGAGAAUCCAUUGUCCUCCUCUCUAUUUUUGCGUCUAUCCGUUCCUCUGUUCUUUAGUUUUUUUAGCUUCGUAAAGUGUGGUCUUAAGAAGAAGGGUAUGGAAGAUAAAAAGGGGAUGGGUGUUGGAAUUGUUGGUGGCGUUGAAGAAAUCAGGGGUCGCCGCUGCUUCAUUUCUUGGAGUGCCGAAGAAGAUGGGUCUUUUGUGUUCUAAUCAUGAAGAAGAAAAAGUUCAAGGUGGGGGUCUCUUUUUUGGGGUUCUGC